RNAcentral lists this long non-coding RNA (1362 nucleotides) under Camarhynchus parvulus. RNAcentral's name for it is "lncRNA (ENSCPVG00000018186.1)". Lineage: Eukaryota; Metazoa; Chordata; Aves; Passeriformes; Thraupidae. The record is from RNAcentral.
AAUCGAGACUCCGCCCCCAAACCGGGACCCCCCGGUCCAUUCAACCCCGACCCCCCCCCACCCCCGGGACCCCCCAAGACCCCCCGGGACCGCCCCCCGUGCCCGCCCCUCCCCUCACCGUCACCCCCGGCCCCAUCGCGCCCCGGAAGCGCUCGGGAGCCACGUGACCGCCGCGCACGUGACAUGGUUUCCCGCCAAAUCCCGCCCCUGGCCGCGCCUCCUCAGAGGCCACGCCUCUUUUGUGGCGCGUCACCUCGGGACUACGACUCCCGUCAUGCCCCGCGGCGCAGCCGCCAUGACACUUCCGGGAGAGGCGCUGAGGGCUCCGAUGGGACCCGCUGCCUCUUCUGCCGUUGUCGCUGUUUUUUCCUAAUUUUGGCCGUUUAGCGAUCCCGUAGAGCCCGACGGAAAGCACGGCCUGAGGUAAACGCUGGGCCUCCCGGUGCUGAGGGCGUUUCGUUCCCCGGUUUCAUUCCCCACGUUUCAUUCCCCGCUUAAACCGGCCCGUUCUCACUCUCACGGCGCCAAUUACCCCACCGCGACAGCGCUAAUCAGGGAGGAACGCAGUGAAAACAGCCCGGCUUUGCGUGACGUCGCGAAGACCGUCAGCCGUUAUGGACUACAUCUCCCGGCUGCCCUCGCGGCACGCGGCGCACUCAUCGCUCGCGCUGAUCGACAGCUGCCUCAGCCAAUGGCGUUGCGCCAGCUCCCCACGCGGCCCCGCCCUCCACACCUCCCCUCAGGAAGCGCUGAUAGACGCACGGAACAACCAAUCACACGACGGGGAGGCGGGGCUUACGCAGAGCGACGCGUGAAUUACCCAAUCACCGCGCGACGGCUGAGAGUAUUAACCAAUAGGAGCUAAGAGGCGGGACUUACGCAGCCGGCCCCGCCCGCCGCCGAGGCGGGUAGCAACAGUUGCCCCGCCGUCGCCAUGGCGACGCAACCCUCCUACGUCACCGAGCUGACGGCGACGACGUCACAGCAGCAGCAGCCGCCUCCCUCCGCCCCGCCCCCCGCAGGCACCGCCCCUUUUGGGGCGGAGCUUACGGGAGGCUCCGCCCCCGGCGCGCCGGCCACGCCCGCGCCCCCUCCCCAACAAUUCAUCGUGGUCACCGUGGCCGCUGAGGGGCUGCGACCCCCGGAGGGCACCGAGGGCAGCCCCCCCCCCGCGCCCCCCCAGGCCGGGCCCAGCCCUGGGGGGCAGCAGGUGGGGAGAAAAUGGGGGGAAAAUGGGGAAAUUGGGAAAAAAUGGGGGGAAAAUGAGGAAAUUGGGAAAAAAUGGGGAAAUUGGGAAAAAAUGGGGAAUAAAUGGGGAAAUUGGGAAAAAAUGGGGGGGAAAUGGGGAAAUUGGGAAAAAAU